RNAcentral lists this ribosomal RNA (508 nucleotides) under uncultured bacterium. RNAcentral describes it as "partial 16S ribosomal RNA". It matches the Rfam family "Bacterial small subunit ribosomal RNA", at positions 28 to 523 of the family's 1533-position model. The record is from RNAcentral.
GAUGAACGCUAGCUACAGGCUUAACACAUGCAAGUCGAGGGGAAACGAUAUUGGAAGCUUGCUUCCGAUAGGCGUCGACCGGCGCACGGGUGAGUAACGCGUAUCCAACCUGCCCACCACUUGGGGAUAACCUUGCGAAAGUAAGACUAAUACCCAAUGAUAUCUCUAGAAGACAUCUGAAAGGGAUUAAAGAUUUAUCGGUGAUGGAUGGGGAUGCGUCUGAUUAGCUUGUUGGCGGGGUAACGGCCCACCAAAGCUACGAUCAGUAGGGGUUCUGCGAGGAAGGUCCCCCACAUUGGAACUGAGACACGGGCCAAACUCCUACGGGAGGCAGCAGUGAGGAAUAUUGGUCAAUGGGAGAGAGCCUGAACCAGCCAAGUAGCGUGCAGGAUGACGGCCCUAUGGGUUGUAAACUGCUUUUAUAAGGGAAUAAAGUGAGUCUCGUGAGACUUUUUGCAGGUACCUUAUGAAUAAGGACCGGCUAAUUCCGUGCCAGCAGCCGCAGUAA